Molecule: long non-coding RNA, 3759 nt
Organism: Sorghum bicolor (sorghum)
Lineage: Eukaryota; Viridiplantae; Streptophyta; Magnoliopsida; Poales; Poaceae
Exons: 6
Source: RefSeq, a predicted model, not a curated record
CCCCAAUUUCUGUUCUGCUCGUCUCCUCCAUUUCCCAUCCCCGUCCUGCCGCUGUUCUAUGCAGCUCCUCGCAACGUGAAGCCGCCGCGCGUUGCCGCGAUACCACCGUUGCAGCCGGCGCCGGCAAGAGUAUUGACGCCCGCCGCCUGCUCGACGGAAUGCCUCCGGUGCAACCGGCCAAGAGGGCAGUGCCUCCGGUGGCUGGGGGCGGAGGCACCAUAAACGCCCUGCCGGACGGCGUCCUCCAGCACAUACUCGGCUUUCUGCCGUCUGCUAAGGCUGUGCAGACGUCUGUGCUCGCCCGGCGCUGGCGCCACCUCUGGAAAUCCGCCACAGGCCUGCGCAUCGGGCGCCCCCUUGACAAAGAUCCAAUGUCCGUGGAGGAGCUCCGGAGCCUAGUGAAUCAUCUGCUGGUCCUCCGCCAAGGCUCGCCUCUUGACACAUGCGAGUUCACAAUUGGAGGCUUCAGCGGCGGGGACGAUGUGCGCCACGUGAACCUCUAGUUCCGGCAGGCUGUGAUGUGCAGAGCUCGGAUGCUAAGGAUCUGUAUACUUGGUGACAUUCCAAGCGAUCCGUGGCUUGAACUAGACAACCUACCUCUUGUGUCUGAGCAGGCUGGAGCUUGAUGGUGUGAGGGUGCACAGCAGAUUGGUUAAUUUCUCAAGAUGUCCAACAUUGGAAUAUCUAGAGAUUGACUGUUGUGAUUUGUCUUUGGUCACUAAGAUCUCGUCUGACUCCAUCAAAUAUCUGCGAAUCAAUGAUUCUGUGCUCAGCAGUGAUUCCCGCAUUCACAUUUAUGCCCCAAAUCUGGCUUCACUGCAUCUUGAUUACCUCCGUGAGAGGACUCCCCUGCUUUAUAGCAUGCCAUUGCUAGUGGAGGCAGUUGUCAGAAUAGAUGAGGAGUGUACAGAUCGCUGCAAUGGUGCAAACCAUGAGACUUGCGACUGUGAGUCCUGUGAUAAUUCUGAUAACAUGGCUGAUGGUAGUAGCAACAGUGUUCUCCUGAAUGGUUUGUCAGAGGCUAAGAAUUUGGCGUUGAUUUCUAAAUCUAAAACGGUAUACCCACAAUUUCAUACCAUACCUCUCUGCUGAACUCUGAAUUAUCUCUUAUCAUUCAUGCGAUUUGAUAGAUAUCACAAGUUUAUUUUCAAAAGGGAUUUGAGAUGGUGCCCCAUGUUUUGAAAGCUAAAGACCUUGUUGCUCAAUGACUAUUGGUGUGUGCCUGAUGACUUCCGUUUAUUAGCUUGUAUCCUUAAACACUCACCCAUUCUAGAGAAGCUCACUCUUCAACUUCGCCCAGAGGUUCACACUUUAUAAAGGCCUAAUGCCUGCAUAGUAGAAUUAUUAGAUAUCAGUUGAUCCUACUGAAAUGUUUUUGUUCUGUGAGAUGACACAACCUAAAGCGGAGAUGAAACUAUGUGUCAGUUCGACAAAGAGAUCAGCUGCUAUUUCAGAAUACCUUAUGAAAGUGGAGCUCAAGUGUGAAGUAGUUGAUGAUAGCGUUCUCAAAGUUUUGAAGUUCCUGUCUACAUAUAACAUAUGCUUAUUAAUAAUGGUCUAAUUUUAGAACUGCUAGAAGGUGGCCACUGCCAAUGGAAAUGAUUUCAGCUUUGAGUAAAGACAAAGACAUAAAAGUUUGGCUGAUGAGUGUUGAUGGAUGUACUGUCUCACUGUUACGAAACACAUGUCCAAGGCUUCAUUGCAACUUCGGAUAAUCGGGUAUUUUUUUUGAGUAAUCUGGAGGGGCUUUGGCCCCUAUAGAUGAAGCUGGCAUAUUACGUCAUGUUUCUGAUUAUUAUGCUUCUAGCAUACUUCAAUUCUAGCAUUAGAAUGGAAAUACUUAUAUCUUGGAAGCUAAGAGGUUGAGAAGGAGCAAAUCGGAAAUUCUGUGGUAGCCAUUGCCAGAUAACAGGUAGCCAUUGCCAGAUAACAGGUACCCUUUUCGUUCUCUUAUCAAAGGAGGUCCUUAUCAAUCCCUCUCCCUGAGCUCGGCUGCCUUCUUGAGCCUCACUGCUGCGAGUCUGCUUGCCCUGCCCCGCACAACUCCAUCUGGCUGACCAACGAGGAACAUGCGCAGCCCUGCCCUGACUAGCUGCGUGCAGGAACACAUCUUUUGAAUGGUAUUGUUCAUCUCAACAAAUUAGAUACUCUCUGUUGCAGUGUAUCAGUCCCCUUUUCUUUUGCUAAGUAUGCAUGCAGCUUCAUAGUGUUUCACAAUCAUAAAGUAGUUGAACUUCAGUCCAUAAGUUCUAAAGUCAGAUAAUAGUAUUAUCCAGCAAAUGCAGACAUACCCAUGAACAUACUUAUUUUUAUUUUUUUUCUUAUCGUACUUCCUUUGCUAAUGUAUGUCUAUCUUAUAUAACUGCAGUUUUGAUUAUUGUUUGAAAAAUGUUUUGUUAGUGGAUGUGUUAAAAUUAGUGCUGAUUGUGGUGGACGAGGCAAUUCUGUGUACUCCAGCUCUACUGCUAAUACAACAAUAGAAUAUAUGUUCUAUUUUUAGUUAAGCUUAAUUUUUGGGCCGUUUUUCUUAUGGCCUCUCUUCAUUCCAUUCUAAAAAUUAGAUUACAUUAUCCAAACGCUAGCAGUCUCAGUGUCUGGUACAACAUUGUUAUUCCAGUCAGAGGCAAACAAUUGUUAUUCCAGUCAGAGGCAAACAAUUGCUAGGAUAUACUCCCUCCAUCCUAAAAAGAGUGUCGUUUUAGAAUUUCAGACAUCUUAUUUGACCAUUCGUCUUAUUCAGAAUUUUUACAUAAAUAUUAUAUAUUUUGUUAAGACUUAUUUUAUCAUUAGAGAUAUUUUGCUCAUGAUUAAUUUAUUUUGUAAUUUACAUAAAAUUUUUGAAUAAGACGAAUGGUCAAACAUGAUGUCUCAAAGUAAAAAACGUCACUCUUUUUGGGACGGAGGGAGUAUCUGUGUUUUUUCACCACACUUGUGCCUACUUUGACCGAUCCUCUGUUUUGCAAUCAUUUUGUUGUGGCUUCUGAUGUCAUUUUUUUAGGUUAUUGUUGGUGCUUCUGCCAUGUUGAGAAAACAUCCAAGAACAGCAUGAGUCCUUUCUGCUAUUAAAUAUAAUGCAUGGUUUGGUCUUAUUUUAAAUUAUCUAUUUGUUGGAGAUCCAUCAAAAUUAGACCUGAUUAACACAAAAAGGAGCCUUGCCAAUAACACAAUAAACCAACUUUGGAUCAAGGCUAUAGGCGAUGAACUCAUUUUUAAAUCGAGGCUUACAUUAUCAAUCAACCAAUUUUGAUCAAGGCUAUAGGCGAUGAACCCAUUGGUAUUUUUCUUAACAAAUAUCAGAAUUCACAAUUUCUGUUUUAAUUGAUUUACAAACUUUCAGGUUGCUUUUAUUUCCAAUGACAUUAUGAUUGUGUUUUUUUCAUUUGCACGUCAUGAGGCUGCUCCGAAGAGAUUGCUGCUGCAGGGCUAAGGCGGCUUUUGCAGCAACCCCACCCAGGAGCACUGUAGCUGAUAGAAGCAUAUCAAAGAAGCAAGAACUCCGACCACUGUACCAGAAUCACAGCGGAGCAACAGCUUGUCAUUCCCGUUUUAGGUUUACAUAGUGCCAACUGAACUGAAAAUUAUGGUAGUUAGAUCAUUUGAUUCUUUUUAGCUUCAUAUAUUAUCUACUUAUUGCAGAUGUUAAAUUAGCACUCACCUACGGUACUCAUUUAGUUGCUUAUACUAAAGACUUUUACCAUGGGUGCUUUUUUUAAAAAAAACAUAUAUGAUCACUUCAUCAUGAUUUAUUUUUAGUACCCA